UAUUAUUUUAGCGGCGGACGGGUGAGUAACGUGUGGGCAACCUACCUUUUACUGUGGAAUAAUCGUUGGAAACGACGACUAAUACCGCAUACGGUUCUUGGAAGGCAUCUUCUAAGAAAGAAAGGAUUUAUUCGGUAAAAGAUGGGCCCGCAUCUGAUUAGCUAGUUGGUGAGAUAAUAGCCCCACCAAGGCAACGAUCAGUAGCCGACCUGAGAGGGUGACCGGCCACAUUGGGACUGAGACACGGCCCAAACUCCUACGGAAGGCAGCAG
Molecule: ribosomal RNA, 272 nt
Filed under: uncultured bacterium
Lineage: Bacteria
Description: partial 16S ribosomal RNA
Rfam family: Bacterial small subunit ribosomal RNA
Source: RNAcentral